RNAcentral lists this ribosomal RNA (253 nucleotides) under uncultured bacterium. RNAcentral's name for it is "partial 16S ribosomal RNA". It matches the Rfam family "Bacterial small subunit ribosomal RNA", at positions 524 to 776 of the family's 1533-position model. The record is from RNAcentral.
UACGUAGGUGGCAAGCGUUGUCCGGAUUUACUGGGCGUAAAGAGCGCGCAGGCGGUCGUUCAAGUCGCGUGUGAAAGCCCCCGGCUCAACUGGGGAGGGUCACGCGAUACUGAUCGACUCGAAGGCAGGAGAGGGUAGUGGAAUUCCCGGUGUAGCGGUGAAAUGCGUAGAUAUCGUAAGGAAGACCAGUGGCGAAGGCGGGUCUCUGGACAGUUCCUGACGCUGAGGCACGAAGGUCAGGGGAGCAAACGGG